Molecule: ribosomal RNA, 253 nt
Filed under: uncultured bacterium
Lineage: Bacteria
Description: partial 16S ribosomal RNA
Rfam family: Bacterial small subunit ribosomal RNA
Source: RNAcentral
GACGGAGGGUGCAAGCGUUGUUCGGAAUUACUGGGCGUAAAGCGCGUGUAGGCGGCUUGCUAAGUCUGAUGUGAAAGCCCGGGGCUCACCCCCGGAAGUGCAUUGGAAACUGGCGAGCUCGAGUCCCGGAGAGGAGGGUGGAAGUCCUGGUGUAGCGGUGAAAUGCGUAGAUAUCAGGAGGAACACCGGUGGCGAAGGCGGCCCUCUGGACGGUGACUGACGCUGAGACGCGAAAGCGUGGGGAGCAAACAGG